CUAAGAAUCUUGCGCAAUGGGCGAAAGCCUGACGCAGCAACGCCGCGUGGAGGACGAAGGCCUUCGGGUCGUAAACUCCUUUUGCGAGGGAAGAAGAUCUGACGGUACCUCGCGAAUAAGCCACGGCUAACUACGUGCCAGCAGCCGCGGUAAUACGUAGGUGGCAAGCGUUGUCCGGAUUUACUGGGCGUAAAGAGCCCGCAGGCGGUCCAAUAAGUUCUUGGUGAAAUCUCCUGGCUCAACUGGGAGGGUGCCUGGAAAACUGUUGGACUUGAGGCAGGGAGAGGGAUGUGGAAUUCCCGGUGUAGUGGUGAAAUGCGUAGAUAUCGGGAGGAACACCAGUGGCGAAGGCGGCAUCCUGGCCCUGUCCUGACGCUCAGGGGCGAAAGCCAGGGGAGCAAACGGGAUUAGAUACCCCUGUAGUCCCUGAGCGGGCUGGCAAGGCGCAU
This 449-nucleotide ribosomal RNA is filed under the name uncultured bacterium. Its description in RNAcentral is "bacterial SSU rRNA". It matches the Rfam family "Bacterial small subunit ribosomal RNA", at positions 355 to 825 of the family's 1533-position model. The record is from RNAcentral.